Molecule: ribosomal RNA, 491 nt
Filed under: uncultured bacterium
Lineage: Bacteria
Description: partial 16S ribosomal RNA
Rfam family: Bacterial small subunit ribosomal RNA
Source: RNAcentral
AGUGAACGCUGGCGGUAGGCCAAACACAUGCAAGUCGAACGGCAGCACAGUAAGAGCUUGCUCUUACGGGUGGCGAGUGGCGGACGGGUGAGGAAUACAUCGGAAUCUACUUUUUCGUGGGGGAUAACGUAGGGAAACUUACGCUAAUACCGCAUACGACCUACGGGUGAAAGCAGGGGAUCUUCGGACCUUGCGCGAUUGAAUGAGCCGAUGUCGGAUUAGCUAGUUGGCGGGGUAAAGGCCCACCAAGGCGACGAUCCGUAGCUGGUCUGAGAGGAUGAUCAGCCACACUGGAACUGAGACACGGUCCAGACUCCUACGGGAGGCAGCAGUGGGGAAUAUUGGACAAUGGGCGCAAGCCUGAUCCAGCCAUACCGCGUGGGUGAAGAAGGCCUUCGGGUUGUAAAGCCCUUUUGUUGGGAAAGAAAAGCAGCAGGUUAAUACCCCGCUGUUCUGACGGUACCCAAAGAAUAAGCACCGGCUAACUUCGU